UUUUUUUUUUGCAUUUUUGUGUUUUUGUUGGUGAUUUCGAUGUUUAAAAUGGGCCCCAAGUAUAGUGCUGAAGUGCUGUCUGGUGUUCUUAAGCACAGAAGGGCUGUGAUGUAUCUGAUGAAGAAAAUAUGUGCAUUCGAUAAGCUUCCUUCAGGCAUGAAUUACAGUGCUGUUGAUUGUGAGUUUAAUGCUAAUGAGUAAACAAUAUAUAGUAAAUAAGCUGUCUGUAGUCAGAAAUACACACAAAAUAGGGUUAUACAUUGAUCAGCUGGCAAAAGUGUGUGAGCAUAAGCUCACAGGCACCUAACACCAUGUUUCUCCUAGGAACCCUGUAGUGUUCCCUGUGCCUCUCUAGACUAUGAUUACCACAAAAAAAAAAAAAAAAAAAAAGAGAGAGAAAAGACUGUAUGUAUAAUGUGAUCUGGGAGUAAGCAUUAUUAGAUUAUUUUAAUAAAGCAGUUCAAAGAGGAAAAUAUGCUUAAACAAACAUUUGAAAAAUUAGAAGUUCGAAAUGGGAGUAGGGGUGCAGACAAUGAGAUGAGCAAUGAGGGGGGAGAAGGGUAUUCCAGGCGGAUGGAACAACAGAUACAAAGACACAGAGCAAGGGUCAACAAACUACAGCUCCUGGCUCAAACCCAGCCCUUGACUAUUUUUGUAAGCGAAGUUUCAUUGGAACACAGCCAUAUCCACUUGUUUACUCGUCAUCUACUAUUGUUUCGAACCUCUGGCAUAGAGGCACCAGAAGCACAGUAAAGAGAAUGAGAGGUAGCAAACUACUGCUACCCAGUUUGCAGUGAACUGUUCAUGUGGAAGAGGGACAGUAAAUAAAGCCAGUUAGCAGGAGCCAGGUGAUGAAGGGCCUCACAGGCCAUGAAAAGGGUUUACAUAGGGAGCAGGUGUUAGGUAAUUGGAUGCACCGCAGAGGACAGAGUGGAUAGGGGAGAGACUGGAGGCUGAGAGGCCAGUUAAGAGGCAAGGGAAAUAGAAGAUGGGAGUUUGGUUCCCACGGUGAUUUAAAUAAAGGGGAGGGGGUACAAUUUCAAAAAAAUUUUCAGAGACAGAUUAUGCUAACUUUGUGAAUAUUUUGAUUCAAAUGAGUACAAAGAAGAGCAAGAACAGACCAUGGCUCCCCGGCCUCUGAAUGGGAUGAACUGGUCCAUGAUGGUGCCAUCCUCCAAGACUGAGAUUCCAGAGGAAGAGUUAUGAGAAAGGGGAAGGAUAUAAUUUCGGUCAUGGACACUUUGAAGUUGAGACGACACUGAGACAUCCAAAUGGGGAAAUAUUGAUCUGCACAAAUAGGCAGUGUGGAUUGAGUAAACAGUUUAUCAAAGAAUAAUCAAAACCCUGAUUGUGGUUAGCCUGCUUAAGGAAAGCACAGAUGGUGAUACAUACAGUGAAGAGAUGGGAUGGUGGGAGGGGUGAUGCAAUAAUUGAUCCAUUAGGGAACAACAGCCAGGCGUUGGGAGGAUGAGAAGAUUUUGCCAAUAGUUUGUAAUGGUGAUCAAACAUGGCAAGAACAACUGGUAUCUCAGGAAUCACAUAAAUUUCAAUCCUUAUGUGAUAUAGACAGGAGGCCCAGGUGGUGAAGGGCAAUGAAAGAAGCUGAGAAGACCAGGCAUGUGAGUAUGUUUUCAGCUGAUGACAACCAGUUUGAAGACCCCCAAAAGAAGAACCAAACUGCAUGAGAAUUCAGUUUCUUCAUCUCCCUACCCCAUGAU
Homo sapiens (human) is the source of this 1718-nucleotide long non-coding RNA. RefSeq lists it as uncharacterized. Lineage: Eukaryota; Metazoa; Chordata; Mammalia; Primates; Hominidae. The record is from RefSeq and is a predicted model, not a curated record. The transcript is spliced from 3 exons.